CCUACGGGUGGCAGCAGUGAGGAAUAUUGGUCAAUGGCCGGAAGGCUGAACCAGCCAAGUCGCGUGAGGGAGGACUGCCCUAUGGGUUGUAAACCUCUUUUAUAUGGGGAGAAAACAUGGUAUGCGUACCCUCGUGCCUGUACCAUAUGAAUAAGCAUCGGCUAACUCCGUGCCAGCAGCCGCGGUAAUACGGAGGAUGCGAGCGUUAUCCGGAUUUAUUGGGUUUAAAGGGUGCGAAGGCGGUGGUUUAAGCUGGUGGUGAAAUGUUGGGGCUAAACCUAGAAUUGCCGUUGAAACUGGCAGACUUGAGUACAGAGGAGGUAGGCGGAAUUCGCGGUGUAGCGGUGAAAUGCUUAGAUAUCACGAAGAACUCCGAUUGCGAAGGCAGCUUACCGGACUGCGACUGACGCUGAGGCACGAGAGCGUGGGUAUCGAACAGGAUUAGAUACCCCAGUAGUC
RNAcentral lists this ribosomal RNA (459 nucleotides) under uncultured bacterium. Its description in RNAcentral is "partial 16S ribosomal RNA". It matches the Rfam family "Bacterial small subunit ribosomal RNA", at positions 338 to 795 of the family's 1533-position model. The record is from RNAcentral.